CUGACCAUUUAAUGGCAUGUUAUUUUCAAAGC
This 32-nucleotide non-coding RNA is filed under the name Mus musculus (house mouse). The record is from RNAcentral. Lineage: Eukaryota; Metazoa; Chordata; Mammalia; Rodentia; Muridae.